UCGGUGACUGCAAACACCUGACCCUGAGUCUUUGGUCUGUUCUUCGGCUUCAUCAUAGGGCGGUCCUUGAUCAGGUGGCUAGGCUUGUCACAUCCAUAACAUGUUCCCAGCUUCUUUUGGCACUCAACUACAGAGUGGUUGCUCUAUUCAUAAUAUUAGCAUGCCGGGUGCCGAUUCUCCCUCACAUCACUCGGGAAAAUCUUAUGGGUUUUCAUGUUGCCCUGAUUAGUCCUUCCCCUAAAGUCUCUCUUAGGAAGAGGCCGAGUCUU
RNAcentral lists this long non-coding RNA (269 nucleotides) under Amborella trichopoda. RNAcentral's name for it is "long non-coding RNA (ATRI_LNC003216)". The record is from RNAcentral. Lineage: Eukaryota; Viridiplantae; Streptophyta; Magnoliopsida; Amborellales; Amborellaceae.